This 1780-nucleotide long non-coding RNA is filed under the name Nicotiana benthamiana. RNAcentral's name for it is "long non-coding RNA (NBEN_LNC003786)". Lineage: Eukaryota; Viridiplantae; Streptophyta; Magnoliopsida; Solanales; Solanaceae. The record is from RNAcentral.
CGGUCACGAGUCUAGAGCCUCUAACAAAACUGAGUAAUAAUAAUAGAAUAUGAAUACUAAAACCAAAAUAUCUAGGAAAGUAUAUAAUAAUAAUCAAAUGCAGAAAUAAUGGAGAGAAGCCAGGUCCUGCGAACGUCAUGGAGCUACCUCAACGACACUGAUAUAUCUCUGGAGACUACGAGAAUCAGCUAAGCCUCCGGUGUACCUGAAUCUGCACNNNNNNNNNNNNNNNNNNNNNNNNNNNNNNNNNNNNNNNNNNNNNNNNNNNNNNNNNNNNNNNNCUCCGGUGUACCUGAAUCUGCACACAAGGUGCAGGGAGUAGGGGUGAGUACUACCGACUCAGUGAAUAAUAAGUAUAAAAAAUGACUGAAAGUAAGAAAUGCACAAAGUACCACAUCGUAAAGCUAUAACUAACAAUCCUAUAACUUAGCUACAGGCUAACAGCAUCACAGUAUUACAACAACAACCAAGUAUCAGAUAAAGAUGCAAUGCAAUGAACAUGAAUUCGCUGCGGAACGUGCAGCCCGAUCCAUUUAACGUCGACGGCGCUCACUGGGGUGUGUACAAACUCCGAAGGGGCUCCUCCAACCCAAGCGCAAUAUUAUCAUAUCACCGCUGCGGCGUGCAGCCCGACCCAUGCUCACUCCACAGUAUGCAUAUGAGUCACUUAACAGAUUCAACUUAUUUUUCAAUUUCCAAUUCUUAGGAAGAAUAUAAUUUAAUUAUUUAAUUUCGGAAAAAAUUACUUAGCAUUUCAUUACGGUAAUUAAACACAGGACUGAGCUCAAUGAUUAUGUGAAUCAUGUUAUCACACAGACAUUCACCAUAGAUGGGUGCUACAUAUCGGCACAAGGCCCCAAACAUGGCACUAAGCCCAAUUAUCAAUAACACAAUGUGUGUUUCAGACGCCAAUAAUUUAUGUUCAGCUCUAGGGACAGACCAAGUCAUAAUCCCCAAUCAUUUACAAUCCCGCACCUGGUGCGAGUCACGCCCUAACAUACCGCCACGAUGUGAUAAACCGGGGUUUCAAACCCUCAGGCCAUCAUCUAUACAAACUACUCACCUUUAACUAGUCGUAGACUGGUCUGCAAUGCCUUUUCCUUUUGAAUCUCUCUCUACGAGCGUCGAAUUUAGCUGAAACCACAACGAAUACGUUAUUAUAGGCUAAAUAAAUAACCUAAUUGAAAUUAUUCGAAAAAUGCUAAAAAACAAAAUUGGUAAAAUCCCUAGUCCAGUUAAUAAAUUACUGUAUACAAACUUGGCCAACAGUAGCACUUCAAAGUGCCGAAACAAUAGUAGCUUCACAACUUAUGCCAUAACCUAUACCAUGUAGUUUAUAUUACUCCAUCAUUACAUCAUGAUUGGAAAUUAUACUUUAUGUAAAUAAAUAAUCCAAUACUGUAGGUCUUACAUAGGUUCAAUCCACUGUAUAAGUGUACGAAAAUCUUUAUUCAUCCAAAAUUCCCUUCUCAUAUUUAUUCUUUAAAAGCUAACACUCAUCAGUUUCCACAUUAUUAUCCAAUCACCAUUCAAUCAUUAUGUCUUCAUAAACCCAAGUGCAACUUGUAAUCAAUAUCCAGAUGCUAAUUGAAUUCCAUCUACUAUUGUAAGAAUUAAUACCUGGACUUUGGAAGCUUACUACGCUAUUGAAUGCCGUCGCCGGUAAUUCUCCAAUAGAGCACUCCACUUCUUCGUUUCCCAACAACCGAGAGAAAAUCCCAUAUGAAAACUCUCUACUAGGUCACUAACGUGCGGCGGACCUACGAGAAUUGGCUUAGCC